RNAcentral lists this ribosomal RNA (497 nucleotides) under uncultured bacterium. RNAcentral's name for it is "partial 16S ribosomal RNA". It matches the Rfam family "Bacterial small subunit ribosomal RNA", at positions 28 to 507 of the family's 1533-position model. The record is from RNAcentral.
GAUGAACGCUGGCGGCGUGCCUAAUACAUGCAAGUCGAGCGAACAGACGAGGAGCUUGCUCCUCUGACGUUAGCUGCGGACGGGUGAGUAACACGUGGAUAACCUACCUAUAAGACUGGGAUAACUUCGGGAAACCGGCGCUAAUACCGGAUAAUAUAUUGAACCGCAUGGUUCAAUAGUGAAAGCCGGUUUUGCUGUCACUUAUCGAUGGAUCCGCGCCGCAUUAGCUAGUUGGUAAGGUAACGGCUUACCAAGGCGACGAUGCGUAGCCGACCUGAGAGGGUGAUCGGCCACACUGGAACGGAGAAACGGUCCAGACCCCUACGGGAGGCAGCAGUAGGGAAUCUUCCGCAAUGGGCGAAAGCCUGACGGAGCAACGGCGCGUGAGUGAUGAAGGUCUUCGGAUCGUAAAACUCUGUUAGUAGGGAAGAACAAAUGUGUAAGUAACUAUGCACGUCUUGACGGUACCUAAGCAGAAAGCCACGGCUAACUACGUG